UGAGAUGAAUCUUGGGACGAUGAAAUCGUUAAACUCGAUUCCGUGAGUGAUAAUCUGGGCGUGUACUCGUUGGAGGUGAUUUGGAUUCUUACAUGACUGUAAGAGAGAGAUGAACUUUUCUUCGAGAAGUCUGAGGGGUUUUGAGGCUAAAUUGAAAGUAAUGUUGGUUAUGUUUAGCAGUGAAUUACUCAAUUAGCUGCAACGGAACAGACUGAUUUAAUUUCAAAAGUGUUGUCACUUAGAGAAAGAAAACAAUCCUGAAAUCAGAAAUGUUCACAAUAAUGAAUAAUCAACCCUCACCUUCUGUUCAAAUCAAAGAAUCAACUCGGUAACAGACCACUAGUUUAU
RNAcentral lists this long non-coding RNA (348 nucleotides) under Panax ginseng (ginseng). RNAcentral's name for it is "long non-coding RNA (PGIN_LNC017868)". Lineage: Eukaryota; Viridiplantae; Streptophyta; Magnoliopsida; Apiales; Araliaceae. The record is from RNAcentral.